This 218-nucleotide long non-coding RNA is filed under the name Zonotrichia albicollis (white-throated sparrow). RNAcentral's name for it is "lncRNA (ENSZALG00000015741.1)". The record is from RNAcentral. Lineage: Eukaryota; Metazoa; Chordata; Aves; Passeriformes; Passerellidae.
GAGAGAAUGAUCAAUACAGUAGAAAACAUCAGACACAUGGAGCUUCCUUUCUCCCUUUAGAGCAUUAGCACACAGGCGGUGAAUUGCAAGAAACAAGAUUUCACUGGGCCCUUCAAUGAACAUCUUUGGGCUUCUUGGCUCUGCAGAUUUGCAGUGAGUCCCCACCAAGGAUGGUAACAGCAGGCAGCUUUCCAUAACUGCUGAUUCAGACUGGCAGG